This is a long non-coding RNA of Solea senegalensis (Senegalese sole), 1175 nucleotides long. RefSeq lists it as uncharacterized. Lineage: Eukaryota; Metazoa; Chordata; Actinopteri; Pleuronectiformes; Soleidae. The record is from RefSeq and is a predicted model, not a curated record. The transcript has 4 exons.
CAAAGUAUUGACCUUCAUACACGACUGACUGCCGAACGACAACGAGUAGAGAGGGAAGGAAAGAGAAAACACACCUGUUGCAUGUUUGAAUGCUAGCAAGAACCAGAAGCAAAACCUAUGAGGAAAGUGAAGAAAUGAUGAUUGAAUGAAUGAAAUUUAAACUACUUUGGACCAGGUGUCUUAUUAUCUCUUGGUCUGUUUUCCUCUCCUGGCUGGUCUUCUUUGGGGGAUACCAUGGCAGCCUGUAGUAUCGACUUUCUCUUCGCUCUCCUCUUAACCUGUGAGCUGCGGUUGUCUGCUCCGCUGAGCUCCACAGGCCGACUGCAGCAGUGAGGCGGGAGAGAAUGCAGACAACCAAGUCCUGAUCAUGUGGACACUUAGCUUCUCUCAUCUCCUGACUCCUUUCUUCGCUGAGAGCAGCUUCGGUGGGCCGAUAGUCAGGCAAAACAUUUCUUCUGCUGACGUCUGUGCACUCGGAGGUGUGCAUUUGAUCACGACUACUCAUUACUAUUUGCCGCACACUCUGCCGCUGAACCUCAAAACAAGACGACGAUACAACGAUUCCCGGGAUCCCACGCUGUUUCCCAGCACAAGCUGGUAUUAGACACACUAAACGUACACAUUAUGCAUCUGUGUUGGAUCACUGAGGGGAAAAAUGGAUUUGUCGACACACUGGCUCUGGCAUUUUAGAGACAACAACAGACAGAGAUAUAUCAGAGAUGGAAAGAAGAGCUUUGUUCCAUCCGUCUCUGGUCAGAAUAACCUGAUCAAAAAGUGCAAAAAAAAAGAGGAAGCCUGUUGUUUCCAAGUUAAAUUUGAUUCACAGCAGGGUGUCUGAAAGAAAUGGACGAAAAUACAGCUAAUUUGCGGUGCUUGUGAGUUAAGGGUGUGCAUGUGUGGUAUUUGCACAAAAAAAAGGGACCAAAGUAUCCUCACCCUCUCCAUCUCUGAUUCUUCUUUUGUCUCUUUUUCUUUCCUACACGACCAGGCUGUUUUUGUUCGUUUUCUUUUAUGUUAGUGAUCAUGGAGUAAUAAUGGCUCGCUUAUGAGAUCCCCAAUGUCUGAUAUCACCUUAAGGAUCUGUCAGGUGGAAAACAAAAUACACACCAUGCAUUUUCAGACUAAUAUAUCCAUCCAUCCAUCCAUCUACUACUGCUUUAUCCUCCACAUGAGGG